Molecule: long non-coding RNA, 1281 nt
Organism: Photinus pyralis (common eastern firefly)
Lineage: Eukaryota; Metazoa; Arthropoda; Insecta; Coleoptera; Lampyridae
Exons: 2
Source: RefSeq, a predicted model, not a curated record
UUAUCGAGAUCGGACUAUAAAUAAAGGAAAUAUAACGAUAUGUAAUUUGACACCAUUGAAAACACUUAAAACGCGAUAUCUCGUAUAUUUACACACGUGCGCAUACUGAGAGAUCAAUAAUUAUAUGCUGCACCGCUCUUAUAAAAUAUGACAAUAGUAAUUAUUUGCCGCAACCAGCUAUCGUGUAUGUGCACCUAUAUACUAAAGUCACUAGAUAUAGAAAGUAACACAAUCAUCCGCCAUUUUGGUGAAAAUUUGCUGCCAACUUAAAAAAAUUUAAAAAUAAAAACUGAAUAUCAGUAAUUUUUUAUAGCCUAACUUCAUAGUACUGUCAUGUUUUAUAUAAAUAUAAUCCCAUCUCUAAACAGGUGAUACAAUCCCCAACAUUAAAGUUACUAGAAUUUUUUUUGAGCAUUUGCCGUAACCAGGUAUAUGUGUUCCAAUACAAAAUAUAACCUAUAAUUUCACAAACUAUAAUUUGUGAUUCUUAUUACUAUCGUCCCUUUCAACACGGCUUUUUUCAAGACUACCAGUUUCUUUCGAAUAUUUACAAGUUGUAGCGUGUAAUAGGCAAUAGGUUUACUUCGACAAGCCUUUUACUUCUUAGAAGAGAAUAAGAUGCGUUUGCAGUUCUGUUUCCGUAAUGGAACUAAAGACGUAAGUGAAGUUUGAGAGUACUCGAUACGUUUGUGUAUACAGGAGUUUCGAUAAACGGAUGUCAACCGUGACGAGGAUUACAACAAUAUACGCCGAAAUGCUCGUCGUUUACUUGAACGGCUUCGCAUACAGGAAGUCUUGCUUCUGGGAAGUCACCUGGCCCCUUAGUGAUUGCUAAUAAGGCCUUUGUAAAAGAUAUUCUUGCUCGUCUUGAACAAAGUUGAAAAAAGCAACUGCGAUAAUUUGUCCCACUAACGGAUAUCUCAUACGGAACGUGUGACACUAUUGCCUGGAGAAAAUUGUACUUCUAUCCUUUAAAGUAACCGUGUUACAAGAACUCAUCGUCUGGACUUGCAAAGUCCUAAAAUAUUGCAUGCAAAUUUACUAGAUGUCAACGUAUUCGAAACCGUUUACACACCAUUGCCGAAUUACGAGCAGAUAUAGAAGCUACCGUUUGAAGCAUUAUGCAACGGCACUUACAUGCCGGCUUCGAAAACAAAGAAAAGAGUGGACCCCUGUCUUAAUUAUGGUGACGAGAUCUUCGAACAGUUGUUUAUAACAUGUGAUUUAUCCAAUUACUUCAAUAUUAACGAUUUGUAAAAGAAAUAAAAUUGUUUCAAUUGU